UGCAGAAACUGAAGGAAAAGCCGGAAUUCACGAACCCGGAUGAGUUCUAUUUUAAGAUGAUCAACAGUAGGACUGUUGGUGGAAUCCAUAGACCUAAGCCUGAAGAUAAUAAGUAUACUGAAGAGGAACUUCUUCUGUUGAAAAAUAAAGAUAUGGGAUAUAUCCUUCAGAGCAUUCAAUGUGAAAAAAGGUUUGUGACAUUUUAAAGUAUUCAUUAGCAAAUAAGUACAAUUCGGUGUCUUGUGGCUGAAUGUUUUACUAUGUUUUAAUUGGGAUGGAUCACUUUGUAGAAAAUCGAAAGCUAAGCUCAACACUUCAUGAACUUGAUAACAAGCCUCAAAACAAGCAUGUUUAUUUUGCUGAAGACGGGUACAGAUAAUGAGUUCUUUUGCUUACCAUUUUGGAACUAUCUGCUAGUUAAGCUUGUGCCAACAUUUAGGUGGCUCUUUUAUUUCAGAGAAGAAGCGAAAGAAAUACAAUCAAGGAUAGGACAAAGCAACAAAAUGCGUGAUCUUGACAACAUCCCUUCUCGUACAAAGAAGAAAAUAGCCUCUUCGUACAGGGAGUUAGAAGAGAUGAAGCAGCGGCUUCAAAAGCUUGAGAAAUUGUAUGCAACGGCUACGAGUUCGGC
Long non-coding RNA from Zea mays, 631 nucleotides. RefSeq lists it as uncharacterized. Lineage: Eukaryota; Viridiplantae; Streptophyta; Magnoliopsida; Poales; Poaceae. The record is from RefSeq and is a predicted model, not a curated record. The transcript has 3 exons.